UACCGUGCCUGUUGCUGCCGACAAACUCC
This 29-nucleotide non-coding RNA is filed under the name Mus musculus (house mouse). The record is from RNAcentral. Lineage: Eukaryota; Metazoa; Chordata; Mammalia; Rodentia; Muridae.